UAGUAUGAAUGGCACCACGAGGGUUGCACUGUCUCCUUUCCCCAAUCAAUGAAACUAAUCUCCCCGUGAAGAAGCGGGGGUACUACUAUAAGACGAGAAGACCCUAUGGAGCUUUAAAUUUCUCUUCAAACGCCAGACACAAACAUCUAACACUUUACAUUAACCCGACGCCUUGAAGAUGAAUUUUAGGUUGGGGUGACCACGGAGAACAAAGUAACCUCCACGCUGAAAAGGCCUCUAAGCCUUGAGCCGAGGGCUACAACCCAAUGCACUAAAAAAUUAACACCCAUUGACCCAAUAUUUUUGAUCAACGAACCAAGUUACCCUAGGGAUAACAGCGCAAUCUACUUCAAGAGUCCCUAUCGACAAGUGGGUUUACGACC
Molecule: ribosomal RNA, 383 nt
Filed under: Scinax fuscovarius (snouted treefrog)
Lineage: Eukaryota; Metazoa; Chordata; Amphibia; Anura; Hylidae
Description: partial 16S ribosomal RNA
Rfam family: Bacterial large subunit ribosomal RNA
Source: RNAcentral